AGGAUUAUAGUUUAUUUAAAACAUUUAAUUUGCAAUUAAAAAAUAUUAAUUUAUAAUUUAUCUUA
Molecule: transfer RNA, 65 nt
Filed under: Scirpophaga incertulas
Lineage: Eukaryota; Metazoa; Arthropoda; Insecta; Lepidoptera; Crambidae
Description: tRNA-Ala
Source: RNAcentral